Long non-coding RNA from Triticum aestivum (bread wheat), 2321 nucleotides. RefSeq lists it as uncharacterized. The transcript has 3 exons. The record is from RefSeq and is a predicted model, not a curated record. NCBI's taxonomy places the organism in Eukaryota, Viridiplantae, Streptophyta, Magnoliopsida, Poales, Poaceae.
CACCUCUCGCCGCCGCCGCCCCCCCUCUCCACCGCCGCCCGCCUCAGACCGCUCUCCCCUCUCAGACCCAUCCUCCCUCCUCUCCUCUCCGCCCAAUGUUCGAGCAGCCGCCCUGAUUAAGCGCGCCCGCAAAGGCCGGGCGCCCGCGGAUUGGCACCGCAGCACCCUGCUCGCCGCUCUCACGCCUACGCAACGUUGCAGCCUCUCAGCCGCAGAGGGUCCAAGAUGGGUCUCUUCGCGUAUGAGCAGGCUCUAACAUGACGGCCACGGUCAUGGACAGGUACCACCAGCGCUCUCAGAGAGGGUUUGAAGCCAAAUUUACUUAUCUAUAGCGCCGUGAUCAAUGCAUUGUGCAAGGAUGGUAAUGUUAGGGAUGCAGAGUCAAUCAUGAACGAGAUGUCUGAGUCUAGGAUGUUAGGAUGAAGCCCGACACAUUCCACCUACACGUCAAUUGUUCUUGGGAUUUCCAAUCCAAUGGAUAAAGAGGGGUGUGUGCCAAACGCCGUGACAUACUCAACCCUAAUCAAUAAGCUGUGCAGUAGUGUGAAGGUGAAUGAGGAAUUGGGUUUGAUUGGCAAAAUACACAGUGUGACAUGGGGCUGCAUUCAAGAUGCCUGGAAGCUGUUUCUUGAUAUGAAAAAGAAGGGAUGCAGACCAACUGUGUAUACGUGCACAUCACUUAUAGGUGGGCACUUAUUCUGUCAAAAAAAUCACUUAUAGGAGGGCAGUGUGUGUCAAGGAUGGCCAUUGGACUAUUUCAUAGGAUGGCAAGAGAUGGUUUGCUCCCUAAUACAGUGACAUAUAAUGGUUCGAUGAAUGUUCUGGUGGACUGGGGGAGGGUAAAAAAUGGAUUCUGCACUUAUUGUUUGUAAUGUGAUGCAGGGACAUGGUUAUUUACCUGACACCGUGACUGACAUACAAUGUACUGAUCAAGGGCUAUUGCGCAAUUGGUAAUACCGAUAAGGCAAUAUCCAUGCUGAUCAAUAUGUUGGAGGGCAGAGCUAGAGCUACACUUGUAAUAAUUAUAGGCUUGCAAAAUAAAUACCUCAUGGUGGACCAGAAACUUAUAGCCUUUCCUGAUGCAGUCUCGGACCGCAACUUUGAUGACCAAAUAACCAAUAGUGUCGAAAAUGAUCUUAUAUUUUUGGACGGAGGGAGUAACAAAGAUGACAUUUCAGUCUUGUGUUCUUAAUUAGCAGAACUGGAUCUUGGACUAUCUCAACAGUUGUAUGAUGCAUUGUUGUCUGGAUUAAGCAGAAGUCAGAGAUGGUUUAAGGCAGAGAAGCUGUACAGACGCAUGGUUGGUUAGGGUUUAUGCCCAAACCAGGAGGCAUGUAAUUAUUUUGUUAUUUCACUUUUGAGAGCCCUGAAAGUUGACCGACUAUGGAUGUAUUCAGAAAUAUGUCUUCUCAGUGUCGUGAGCUCCACCUUGUUGGUUAUAAAGAACUAAUAUGUGCUUUAUGCCAACUUCAUAGAAGAAAUUAAGCCCAAUUUGUAUUUGAAGACAUGCUAUCGAGGAAUUUUAGUUCUGAUAACAUUGUAUGGACUGUUCUCAUCAAUGGACUGAUUGGGGCCGGAUACAAAGACUUGUGCGUGGAGUUUCUGCACAUUAUGGAAAAAAAUCAUCAUAAGCGUAGCUUCUGUAUGUGCACAAUUGUAGCAAGGGAAGCAUUGAAAGAGUAGCCAUAGAAUCAGCUGGACUUGAUGCACUGCAGCAAUUUGGGAUUUUCUUGUGAUGCCUCAUGUGCCAGAGCUGUUAAUCUGGAGUGAGUUAGAUGGCUAGAGGGACCUUUUCAUUGUUUUGCUACUUGGUCUUCCUUGAUCCUUGUUAUCUAUUCCCAAGGCUUCCGCAUUGUGGUUCCAGUGAGAUCAAAGAAUGCCUAUGUGCAGCAAGUUUCAUAUCCAGUUUAGCUGUUACACGCUGAACAUUCCCAUCAUUUUGCACUCUACACUGAAUCACUGAUUACCAACCUCUAUUUCAAACCUCAGGAUUCCUAGGGAUUGUCAGAAAUGGGAGCCAGAGUUGGAAGACCCAAAAGAUCAAUUCCGUGAAUACUUCCCGAUUGGCCCUUUAAUUGGAAAGUGGUGCAAGAUGCAUCAGCAGGAACAACAAAUUGCGAUGCCAGGUCACCUCAAGUUGAACUUGCACAGGAUGGUGAACAGAUGCAUGAUCACUGCCAUUCCAUUUAGUGGACUGACCUGCCCAAACUGAUUUCAUGGACGCCAAUUGGUUCAGAAACCGCUAUGCUGCUCGCCGUUACCAGCAUGUACCAAUACUUGAGUCUGAGAAAGAAAGAGCAACCAAACCUGUUUUGGGCUUU